AGAGUUUGAUCCUGGCUCAGGACGAACGCUGGCGGCAUGCCUAAUACAUGCAAGUCGAACGAGUUCCCGUUGAUUGACGUGCUUGCACUGAUUUCAACAUUGGAACGAGUGGCGAACUGGUGAGUAACACGUGGAAAACCUGCCCAGAAGCAGGGGAUAACACUUGGAAACAGGUGCUAAUACCGUAUAACAACAAAAACCGCAUGGUUUUUGUUUGAAAGGUGGCUUCGGCUAUCACUUCUGGAUGGUUCCGCGGCGCAUUAGCUUGUUGGUGGGGUAACGGCUCACCAAGGCGAUGAUGCGUAGCCGACCUGAGAGGGUAAUCGGCCACAUUGGGACUGAGACACGGCCCAGACUCCUACGGGAGGCAGCAGUAGGGAAUCUUCCACAAUGGACGCAAGUCUGAUGGAGCAAUGCCGCGUGAGUGAAGAAGGGUUUCGGCUCGUAAAACUCUGUUGUUGAAGAAGAACGGGUGUCAGAGUAACUGUUGACAUCGUGACGGUAUUCAACCAGAAAGCCACGGCUAACUACGUGCCAGCAGCCGCGGUAAUACGUAGGUGGCAAGCGUUGUCCGGAUUUAUUGGGCGUAAAGCGAGCGCAGGCGGUUUCUUAAGUCUGAUGUGAAAGCCUUCGGCUUAACCGAAGAAGUGCAUCGGAAACUGGGGAACUUGAGUGCAGAAGAGGACAGUGGAACUCCAUGUGUAGCGGUGGAAUGCGUAGAUAUAUGGAAGAACACCAGUGGCGAAGGCGGCUGUCUAGUCUGCAACUGACGCUGAGCUCGAAAAGCAUGGGUAGCGAACAGGAUUAGA
This 809-nucleotide ribosomal RNA is filed under the name uncultured Lactobacillus sp. Its description in RNAcentral is "bacterial SSU rRNA". It matches the Rfam family "Bacterial small subunit ribosomal RNA", at positions 8 to 782 of the family's 1533-position model. The record is from RNAcentral. Lineage: Bacteria; Bacillati; Bacillota; Bacilli; Lactobacillales; Lactobacillaceae.